AGAGUUUGAUCCUGGCUCAGGACGAACGCUGGCGGCGUGCCUAACACAUGCAAGUCGAGCGGGGACAUGCGACGGAGCGGAAGUUUUCGGAUGGAAGUGAAGAUGUAUGUUCUAGCGGCGGACGGGUGAGUAACGCGUGAGCAACCUGUCCUUCACAGGGGGAUAACACAGCGAAAGUUGUACUAAUACCGCAUAAGACCACAGGGAGACAUCUUCCAGGGGUCAAAGGAGUAAUCCGGUGAAGGGUGGGCUCGCGUCCGAUUAGAUAGUUGGUGAGGUAACGGCCCACCAAGUCAACGAUCGGUAGCCGACCUGAGAGGGUGAUCGGCCACAUUGGGACUGAGACACGGCCCAAACUCCUACGGGAGGCAGCAGUGGGGAAUAUUGGGCAAUGGGGGGAACCCUGACCCAGCAACGCCGCGUGAGGGAAGAAGGUUUUCGGAUCGUAAACCUCUGUCCUUGGUGAAGAGGAAGAGACGGUAGCCAAGGAGGAAGCCCCGGCUAACUACGUGCCAGCAGCCGCGGUAAUACGUAGGGGGCGAGCGUUGUCCGGAAUGAUUGGGCGUAAAGGGCGCGUAGGCGGCCCGGUAAGUCUGAAGUGAAAGUCCUGGUUUUAAGUUGGGAAUUGCUUUGGAUACUGUCGGGCUUGAGUGCAGGAGAGGUAAGUGGAAUUCCCAGUGUAGCGGUGAAAUGCGUAGAG
This 700-nucleotide ribosomal RNA is filed under the name uncultured rumen bacterium. RNAcentral describes it as "bacterial SSU rRNA". It matches the Rfam family "Bacterial small subunit ribosomal RNA", at positions 8 to 695 of the family's 1533-position model. The record is from RNAcentral.